Molecule: ribosomal RNA, 486 nt
Filed under: Triticum aestivum (bread wheat)
Lineage: Eukaryota; Viridiplantae; Streptophyta; Magnoliopsida; Poales; Poaceae
Description: partial small subunit ribosomal RNA
Source: RNAcentral
AUGAGACGAGAUGUUGAGCGUUUUGUGGCUCGCUGCACUACAUGUCAAAAAGCUAAGUCACGACUCAAUCCUCAUGGUUUAUAUAUGCCUUUGCAUGUACCUACUGUUCCUUGGGAGGAUAUAUCUAUGGACUUUGUUUUAGGUUUACCUCGAACAAAGAAGGGGAGGGAUAGCAUAUUUGUUGUCGUGGAUAGAUUUUUGAAAAUGGCACAUUUUAAACCAUGUCAUAAAAGCGAUGACGCUAUUAAUGUUGCUGAUUUGUUCUUCCGUGAAAUUAUUCGCUUGCAUGGUGUGCCAAAUACUAUUAUUUCAGAUCGUGAUACUAAAUUUCUUAGCCACUUUUGGAGAUGUUUAUGGGCUAAGUUGGGGAUUAAACUGUUUUUUAGUACUACUGGUCACCCCCAAACUGAUGGACAAACUGAAUUAGUCAAUAGAACAUUGUCUACUAUGCUUAGGGUUGUUUUGAAUAAUAAUAAGAAAAUGUGA